This 400-nucleotide ribosomal RNA is filed under the name uncultured bacterium. RNAcentral's name for it is "bacterial SSU rRNA". It matches the Rfam family "Bacterial small subunit ribosomal RNA", at positions 355 to 747 of the family's 1533-position model. The record is from RNAcentral.
UGGGGAAUUUUGGACAAUGGGGGGAACCCUGAUCCAGCAACGCCGCGUGAAUGAAGAAGGCCUUCGGGUUGUAAAGUUCUUUUGUCAGAGAGCAAAGGUUUGCUGCUAAUACCAGUAAACGCUGAGAGUAUCUGAAGAAUAAGCACCGGCUAACUACGUGCCAGCAGCCGCGGUAAUACGUAGGGUGCGAGCGUUAAUCGGAAUUACUGGGCGUAAAGCGUGCGCAGGCGGAUGUUUAAGUUAGAAGUGAAAUCCCCGGGCUUAACCUGGGAAUGGCUUUUAAGACUGGGCAUCUAGAGUUUGUCAGAGGGGGGUGGAAUUCCAAGUGUAGCAGUGAAAUGCGUAGAGAUUUGGAGGAACACCGAUGGCGAAGGCAGCCCCCUGGGAUAGAACUGACGCU